Molecule: ribosomal RNA, 998 nt
Filed under: uncultured Prochlorococcus sp.
Lineage: Bacteria; Bacillati; Cyanobacteriota; Cyanophyceae; Synechococcales; Prochlorococcaceae
Description: bacterial SSU rRNA
Rfam family: Bacterial small subunit ribosomal RNA
Source: RNAcentral
AGAGUUUGAUCCUGGCUCAGGAUGAACGCUGGCGGCGUGCUUAACACAUGCAAGUCGAACGAACCUUCGGGUUAGUGGCGGACGGGUGAGUAACGCGUGAGAAUCUGCCCUCAGGAGGGGGAUAACGGUUGGAAACGACCGCUAAUACCCCAUAUGCCUACUGGUGAAACGAAUUUCGCCUGAGGAUGAGCUCGCGUCUGAUUAGCUAGUUGGUGAGGUAAUGGCUCACCAAGGCUUCGAUCAGUAGCUGGCCUGAGAGGAUGAUCAGCCACACUGGGACUGAGACACGGCCCAGACUCCUACGGGAGGCAGCAGUGGGGAAUUUUCCGCAAUGGGCGAAAGCCUGACGGAGCAACGCCGCGUGAGGGACGAAGGCCUCUGGGCUGUAAACCUCUUUUCUCAAGGAAGAAGAUAUGACGGUACUUGAGGAAUAAGCCACGGCUAAUUCCGUGCCAGCAGCCGCGGUAAUACGGGAGUGGCAAGCGUUAUCCGGAAUUAUUGGGCGUAAAGCGUCCGCAGGCGGCUUUUCAAGUCUGCUGUUAAAAAGUGGAGCUUAACUCCAUCAUGGCAGUGGAAACUGAAAGGCUUGAGUAUGGUAGGGGCAGAGGGAAUUCCCGGUGUAGCGGUGAAAUGCGUAGAUAUCGGGAAGAACACCAGUGGCGAAGGCGCUCUGCUGGGCCAUUACUGACGCUCAUGGACGAAAGCCAGGGGAGCGAAAGGGAUUAGAUACCCCCUGUAGUCCUGGCCGUAAACGAUGAAACACUAGGUGUCGGGGGGGAAUCGACCCCCUUCGGUGUCGUAGCUAACGCGUUUAAGUGUUUCCGCCCUGGGGGAGUACGCACGCAAGUGUGAAACUCAAAGGAAAUUGACCGGGGGGGCCCGGCACAAGGCGGGUGGGAGUAUGGUGGGUUUAACUUCGAUGCAACCGCCGUAGAAUCCUUUACCAGGCCUUGGACAUUCCUUGGCCGAAUCCUCUUAGAAAUUUUGAUGGGAUUGGC